GCUAAUCAUGGAUGAACGCUGGCGGCGUGCCUAAUACAUGCAAGUCGAGCGAACUGAUUAGAAGCUUGCUUCUAUGACGUUAGCGGCGGACGGGUGAGUAACACGUGGGCAACCUGCCUGUAAGACUGGGAUAACUUCGGGAAACCGAAGCUAAUACCGGAUAGGAUCUUCUCCUUCAUGGGAGAUGAUUGAAAGAUGGUUUCGGCUAUCACUUACAGAUGGGCCCGCGGUGCAUUAGCUAGUUGGUGAGGUAACGGCUCACCAAGGCAACGAUGCAUAGCCGACCUGAGAGGGUGAUCGGCCACACUGGGACUGAGACACGGCCCAGACUCCUACGGGAGGCAGCAGUAGGGAAUCUUCCGCAAUGGACGAAAGUCUGACGGAGCAACGCCGCGUGAGUGAUGAAGGCUUUCGGGUCGUAAAACUCUGUUGUUAGGGAAGAACAAGUACAAGAGUAACUGCUUGUACCUUGACGGUACCUAACCAGAAAGCCACGGCUAACUACGUGCCAGCAGCCGCGGUAAUACGUAGGUGGCAAGCGUUAUCCGGAAUUAUUGGGCGUAAAGCGCGCGCAGGCGGUUUCUUAAGUCUGAUGUGAAAGCCCACGGCUCAACCGUGGAGGGUCAUUGGAAACUGGGGAACUUGAGUGCAGAAGAGAAA
RNAcentral lists this ribosomal RNA (660 nucleotides) under Priestia megaterium. Its description in RNAcentral is "bacterial SSU rRNA". It matches the Rfam family "Bacterial small subunit ribosomal RNA", at positions 1 to 659 of the family's 1533-position model. The record is from RNAcentral. Lineage: Bacteria; Bacillati; Bacillota; Bacilli; Caryophanales; Bacillaceae.